UACGUAGGGGGCAAGCGUUGUCCGGAUUUAUUGGGCGUAAAGAGCGUGUAGGCGGCCAGAUAGGUCUGUUGUGAAAACUGGAGGCUUAACCUUCAGAGGUCGAUGGAAACCAUCUGGCUAGAGUCCGGAAGAGGAGAAUGGAAUUCCUGGUGUAGCGGUGAAAUGCGCAGAUAUCAGGAAGAACACCCGUGGCGAAGGCGGUUCUCUGGGACGGUACUGACGCUGAGACGCGAAAGCGUGGGGAGCGAACGGG
RNAcentral lists this ribosomal RNA (253 nucleotides) under uncultured bacterium. RNAcentral's name for it is "partial 16S ribosomal RNA". It matches the Rfam family "Bacterial small subunit ribosomal RNA", at positions 524 to 776 of the family's 1533-position model. The record is from RNAcentral.